GAGGGUGACAGGUGGUGCAUGGUUGUCGUCAGCUCGUGUCGUGAGAUGUUGGGUUAAGUCCCGCAACGAGCGCAACCCUCGACCUUAGUUGCCAGCAUUCAGUUGGGCACUCUAAGGUGACUGCCGGCUAAAAGUCGGAGGAAGGUGGGGAUGACGUCAAAUCAUCAUGCCCCUUAUGACCUGGGCUACACACGUGCUACAAUGGGCGGUACAAAGGGUCGCGAACCCGCGAGGGGGAGCCAAUUCCAAAAAGCCGCUCUCAGUUCGGAUUGCAGGCUGCAACUCGCCUGCAUGAAGCCGGAAUCGCUAGUAAUCGCGGAUCAGCAUGCCGCGGUGAAUACGUUCCCGGGCCUU
This 354-nucleotide ribosomal RNA is filed under the name uncultured Anoxybacillus sp. RNAcentral describes it as "bacterial SSU rRNA". It matches the Rfam family "Bacterial small subunit ribosomal RNA", at positions 1027 to 1382 of the family's 1533-position model. The record is from RNAcentral. Lineage: Bacteria; Bacillati; Bacillota; Bacilli; Caryophanales; Anoxybacillaceae.